RNAcentral lists this unclassified non-coding RNA (1469 nucleotides) under uncultured Neocallimastigales. Its description in RNAcentral is "partial contains small subunit ribosomal RNA, internal transcribed spacer 1, 5.8S ribosomal RNA, internal transcribed spacer 2, and large subunit ribosomal RNA". The stretch from base 676 to 1469 matches the Rfam family "Eukaryotic large subunit ribosomal RNA", at positions 1 to 628 of the family's 3401-position model. The record is from RNAcentral. Lineage: Eukaryota; Fungi; Neocallimastigomycota; Neocallimastigomycetes; Neocallimastigales.
CAAGGUUUCCGUAGGUGAACCUGCGGAAGGAUCAUUAAUAAAUUUUUUUAGGUUGAAAAUACGAAACCUAAAAAUAUAAUAAUCCUACCCUUUGUGAAUUUGUUGUUUGAAAUAAUUUUUUUAAAAAAAAAUUAUUUUAUAGCUUUGGUCUAUCCCUGAGUUGUAAGAGAAGUAAAAUUCUUUGAAAGCUUAGGGAAUAGGCUUUAUCUAUAAAUAAUGAUUUUUUAAAGGCCUUUUUUUUAAAUUAAACUUUUUUGUAUUCAUUUGUCUAAAUUUAUUUUUAAUAAUUUUAAAAACAACUUUUGACAAUGGAUCUCUUGGUUUCUCGCAACGAUGAAGAACGCAGCAUAAUGCGAUAAGUAAUGUGAAUUGCAGAAUACGUGAAUCAUCAAAUCUUCGAAACGCAUAUUGCACUUUUUUUAGUUUACUAAAAAAGUAUGUCUGUUUGAGUAACAGUAAAAUAUUCUCAUAAAAAAAUUUAUUUUUUAUGGUUUUGAGUGUUUUACAACACGAUACAAGUUGUUUCACUUUUAAAUUGACUUUAAAUUGCCUAUUAAUUUAGUCAAUUUUUUAAAAAUUGCAUAAAAUUUUCCCGUAAAAAAGGAAUAACCUAUCAAUUUUAAAAAUUAACUGAUAUUAAAAGGCCUUGAUAAAAGGAAAUUUAAUUAAAUAACUUGAUCUCAAAUCAGAUUAAGAGUACCCGCUGAACUUAAGCAUAUCAAUAAGCGGAGGAAAAAGAAACUAACAAGGAUUCCCCUAGUAACGGCGAGUGAAGCGGGGAAGAGCUCAAAUUUGAAAUCUUCAAGGUUUGACCUUGACGAAUUGUAGUUUUAAAGAAGUGUUUUCGGUUAGAGGAGUGGUAAAAGUUCUUUGGAAUAGGACAUCAUAGAGGGUGAGAAUUCCGUAUUUGACCAUUCUUUCUAGCUUUGUGAUACACUUUCAGAGAGUCGGAUUGUUUGGGAAUGGCAGUCCAAAAUGGGUGGUAAAUUUCAUCUAAAGCUAAAUAUUGGCGAGAGACCGAUAGCGAACAAGUACCGUGAGGGAAAGAUGAAAAGAACUUUGAAAAAGAGAGUUAAACAGUACGUGAAAUUGUCAAAAGGGAGGCGUUUGACACCAGUGUUGUUUUUUCCGAAAAUCAAUUUAAAAAUGGAUUCAUGCCAAGUUGUAUUGACCUUAUCAGCUUGCAAUUUGGUUUUGGGUUCUUUUUUUUGAUGCACUUUUCGGUUAACCAAGUCAACAUCAAUUUCCUUUGCUGUAAAAGGGCAGAAGGAAGGUGGCUUCAAUUUCGGUUGAAGUGUUUUAUAGCCUUUUGUCUCUGCAGUCGGGGAGAUUGAGGUCUGCAGCGUAGAUCCUUCGGGGUUAGAUACAUUUCGUGCUAAGUUAUAGCCUUUUAUAGACAACUUGUUGACUAUGAUCGGUCUUGUAAUUUACUCCGCGAGUGCUAUUUUACCUACGCUUAGGAUUUGAAG